This 252-nucleotide ribosomal RNA is filed under the name uncultured Bacteroidales bacterium. Its description in RNAcentral is "partial 16S ribosomal RNA". It matches the Rfam family "Bacterial small subunit ribosomal RNA", at positions 524 to 776 of the family's 1533-position model. Lineage: Bacteria; Pseudomonadati; Bacteroidota; Bacteroidia; Bacteroidales. The record is from RNAcentral.
UACGGAGGAUGCGAGCGUUAUCCGGAUUUAUUGGGUUUAAAGGGUGCGCAGGCGGCGUGUCAAGUCAGCGGUAAAAUGUCGGGGCUCAACCCCGGCCCGCCGUUGAAACUGGCAGUCUCGAGUUGGAGAGAAGUACGCGGAAUGCGCGGUGUAGCGGUGAAAUGCUUAGAUAUCGCGCAGAACCCCGAUUGCGAAGGCAGCAUGCCGGCUCCACACUGACGCUGAGGCACGAAAGCGUGGGUAUCGAACAGG